Molecule: long non-coding RNA, 2451 nt
Filed under: Mus musculus (house mouse)
Lineage: Eukaryota; Metazoa; Chordata; Mammalia; Rodentia; Muridae
Description: long non-coding RNA chr15:101931536-101933987
Source: RNAcentral
UGCAGUUCUUCAUACUGGAGGCCAAAAAAGGUGUCAGUGAAUAUUGAGAGCCCUGACCUGCUUGGUAACUGUUGGUCUCAGAGCCACCCUCUGCUGUAAGUCCCAUGAGAGCUGAGUGCACCAGGUCCCAGAGCUCUGAGGGCCCAGUGGGCCAGGACUCUCCAGGGGAGGAGGUCCACCCCCAGCCCGCACAUCCAAGCUAGUUGUCUGCUCACUUUGGUCUGGUACCAGGACUCAGCCUCAGCCCGACUCUUCUGGGCGAUCAGCUCAUACUGGGCUUUGACUUCAGCGAUGAUGCUGUCCAAGUCCAGGUUGCGGUUGUUGUCCAUGGACAGUAUCACGUUGGUGUCAGACACAUUGGUCUGCACUUGGCUCAGCUCCUGUAGAAAUAAGAGCAGCUGCCACCACAGUCCUGCCCUAUGCCUUGGGCAGAAACAAAGGAUACAGAAUAGGAUCCUUGCAUGGCCUCAGAGGGACAUCCUAGGCUUCCUCGGGAUCCUCCCUGGAAAGAAUCUACCACUGGAAAAAGAACCUCCAUCUCCCCGUUGUGAGGUGGGCUUACAUCUUCCCUGUUGAUCCUCAGGUCUUCUGCUGAGAGAUCAGGGGACCGAGGGGAGUGUGCCUCCCUGCCCUGUGCCACCCGGGCUCUGUGCUAACAUAGUCACUGGUUUCUGUGAUCAUCACAUCCCCAGGAGACAAGCACUCCCCAGCUAGGCUCCUUCAGGCUAUUUCUGUGCCCUCAAAGGAAAGGGGGAUGACACAGAAGUCAGACACUGACAAAGUCCCAAUGGCUUCCGACAAUCAGUGCACUAGACCACGGUGUUCUCAAGACCUCCUUGUAUUUCUAUGGCCACUGUCCUUUUAAAGGAUGCAUUGGGGACAACAAAGGUGAUGUAAAGGUAACAGGAAGUUGAGGAUCUGUGAUCUGUUCACUGGGUUAUGACAUUGGCUCCCAGAGGGCUCUGCCUCUGUCAUCCUUUGACUCCCUGAGCUUCUACCAGACUGCCCUCAACUCCAGCUGUCAACCACCUUCCAUAGUCUCAUUGUGACCCAUAGCAUGCCACACACACAUACACAAACACACACACAUGUACACAUGCACAUGCAUGCAUAUACACACAUAUACAUGUGCAUACACACAUAACAUAUACACAUACAACCCAAGGGAAUAUGGCAGGCAGAGAGAGAGAGAGACCAAAACCAUAUCUGACAGCUUGGGAUGUUGACUAUGUUCUAAGCACAAGGGUAGGGACAAAUGGGUCACUGAAGAGCAGAAGUCAGGGGACAAGGGUUCUGAGCUCACCCUCCAGAGGUGUCAUGGCCAAACCUAAAGCAUAGAAUGGGAUCCUGAGUGCCAGGUUAGCCAACAUGAAUGGCAAAAGAACUGUUGCCCUGAUGGAUGGGGAAGCCCUUUGACAAGAAGUCAUUCCCCCAGCAUAGUCCACAGCUUCCUUUCCUUUCUACAUCUUCCCCUAAAUCUCCCAACUUGCCAACUUCCUGCCAUCACAGACACUGUGCCCUUUAAUGCCAAAGCCCUGCCAAGCUGAGCCCUUCCUGUGCCAGCUCUUCCUUAAGGUCCGUUGCAGGUGUGUCCUCAGAGGGCCUCCCCUCCCCUGCCCUGCAAAAGAACCCCCACCACAGCCUCCAGCCGUGCCUCGGCACCUUGGGCCUGUCCCAACAGGGCUUUCCUUACUUAAGAACCUGACCCUAAGGGCAGGAACUCUGUCUUACUUGUUAUGUGGGAGGAACUCUAUAAACGCUUGUUAAGUAAGCCAGGUAAAAAUGAAAGAAAGGGAUGCUGGGUAAGCCAGCUCCAUGCUUCGGGUAGAGCAGAGCUAAAUGUGAAACAUGAGCACAGACAAUCGAGCAUGAGGGUGGACAGGGACAUCCUAACUCGUGAGAAACCACCGUGAAACCCAGCAAAGAGAAAAGGGAAAACACCCCAAAGCACAGAGGGGCCAUCGUAGGAGGCCCAGGGAAGACUAAGGAGACGAACACUGAGUCAUCCCAAAGAAACAAGGAUGAGGAGUCCAGAACCCAACAGCAAAGCCCUGCUCCUCUGAGGGAAGGAGUCAGGAUCCUGCAGGUUAAGGAAGUAUAAAACAUGGGAGGAGGCACAGAGCCACCAAGAGUCACCUGAGCAUACAUGAAACCAAAUAGGUUUCAUUUUUCACGUAUUGCUGGAUAGCCAAAAACUUACCGUGGACAUUAUCUGACCACUCCUUUCUUUCCAGAAAUCCCAAAAAUGAGACAAGAGGCACUGGGGGGGAUCGCUCAGGGAGUAAACAUCUGUUGUGUAAGCAUGAGUUAGGAUCCUAAGCAACUAUGUCAAAAGCUACACAUCUUAGUGUAUGCCUUGUGACAACACCAUUGGAGUGAAGGGAGACAAGUGGAUCCCCAACCAGACUCAUUGCUCAAUCUCUUCAAGACAGUAAGGUGAGAGACCUUGCC